GCGCCCGUAGCUCAGCGGAUAGAGCAGCAGUCUUCUAAACUGUCGGUCGCAGGUUCGAUCCCUGCCGGGCGCG
This 73-nucleotide transfer RNA is filed under the name Candidatus Stackebrandtia faecavium. RNAcentral describes it as "tRNA-Arg". It matches the Rfam family "tRNA". From Rfam's summary of the family: Transfer RNA (tRNA) molecules are approximately 80 nucleotides in length. Their secondary structure includes four short double-helical elements and three loops (D, anti-codon, and T loops). Further hydrogen bonds mediate the characteristic L-shaped molecular structure. tRNAs have two regions of fundamental functional importance: the anti-codon, which is responsible for specific mRNA codon recognition, and the 3' end, to which the tRNAs corresponding amino acid is attached (by aminoacyl-tRNA synthetases). tRNAs cope with the degeneracy of the genetic code in two manners: having more than one tRNA (with a specific anti-codon) for a particular amino acid; and 'wobble' base-pairing, i.e. permitting non-standard base-pairing at the 3rd anti-codon position. The record is from RNAcentral. Lineage: Bacteria; Bacillati; Actinomycetota; Actinomycetes; Glycomycetales; Glycomycetaceae.